RNAcentral lists this ribosomal RNA (497 nucleotides) under uncultured bacterium. Its description in RNAcentral is "partial 16S ribosomal RNA". It matches the Rfam family "Bacterial small subunit ribosomal RNA", at positions 28 to 507 of the family's 1533-position model. The record is from RNAcentral.
GACGAACGCUGGCGGCGUGCCUAAUACAUGCAAGUUGAGCGCUGAAGGUUGGUACUUGUACCAACUGGAUGAGCAGCGAACGGGUGAGUAACGCGUGGGGAAUCUGCCUUUGAGCGGGGGACAACAUUUGGCAACGAAUGCUAAUACCGCAUAACACCUUUAAACACAAGUUUUAAGUUUGAAAGAUGCAAUUGCAUCACUCAAAGAUGAUCCCGCGUUGUAUUAGCUAGUUGGUGAAGUAAAGGCUCACCAAGGCGGUGAUACAUAGCCGACCUGAGAGGGUGAUCGGCCAGAUUGGGACGGAGACACGGCCCAAACGCCUACGGGCGGCAGCAGGAGGGAAUCGUCGGCAAUGGACGAAAGUCUGACCGAGCAACGCCGCGUGAGUGAAGAAGGAUGUCGGGUCGUAAAACUCAAGUGGUAGAGAAGAACGUUAAUGAGAGUGGAGAGCUCAUCAAGUGACGGUAACUACCCAGAAAGGGACGGCUAACUACGUG